RNAcentral lists this ribosomal RNA (253 nucleotides) under uncultured bacterium. Its description in RNAcentral is "partial 16S ribosomal RNA". It matches the Rfam family "Bacterial small subunit ribosomal RNA", at positions 524 to 776 of the family's 1533-position model. The record is from RNAcentral.
GACAGAGGGUGCAAACGUUGUUCGGAAUUACUGGGCGUAAAGCGCGUGUAGGCGGCCCUGCAAGUCGGAUGUGAAAUCCCACGGCUCAACCGUGGAAGUGCAUUCGAAACUGCAGGGCUAGAGUCCUGGAGAGGAAGGUGGAAUGCUUGGUGUAGAGGUGAAAUUCGUAGAUAUCAAGCGGAACACCGGUGGCGAAGGCGGCCUUCUGGACAGUGACUGACGCUGAGGCACGAAAGCCAGGGGAGCAAACGGG